Macrosteles quadrilineatus (aster leafhopper) is the source of this 321-nucleotide long non-coding RNA. RefSeq lists it as uncharacterized. The record is from RefSeq and is a predicted model, not a curated record. The transcript has 3 exons. NCBI's taxonomy places the organism in Eukaryota, Metazoa, Arthropoda, Insecta, Hemiptera, Cicadellidae.
AGUAUUUAAAAUCUGUUUUUCAGCAACUAAAUAACAGUAGGUAUAUUAUUUAAUGUUUCAAGAAUAUCCGCCAAUGUCAAAGUGUUGUGGUGGAUGUCCGCGCCGACGCCGUGACCGACUAUGAUGUACUACGCACGCGCAGAGAAGAUACGCUAAAAGCCGCGUCUGCCAUCAGUGGAGUGUUGUGUGUUUAGUGGAUUGUGGUUCCAGAAAGGGAUUUGGAUUACCUUUUUAUCAGGACCUCAAGCGUCACCAACAUGUGAUCCUAGCCAUCACCAAUACACCACGCCCCACAAUGGGCCUAAGACUGUUGUUAAUGAC